Molecule: long non-coding RNA, 661 nt
Filed under: Bos grunniens (domestic yak)
Lineage: Eukaryota; Metazoa; Chordata; Mammalia; Artiodactyla; Bovidae
Description: lncRNA (ENSBGRG00000015871.1)
Source: RNAcentral
CAUGGCUUCACCAACAAAGCAUGCUUGUCAAAUUUUGCUUUUGCUAAACUGUUAGUUUUGUUUUGUUUUUAAGUUAUCUCAGUUUUGCUUCAAUUUGCAUUUCUCUUAUUAGGGCUUGAGACUGAGCAUCUUCUCAUUGUUUAAGAGCCUUCUGACCUGUCUGGUCAUAUCCUGUGCUCACUUUUCUUUUCUCUCCCUUCUCUCUGGCUGUGCGACAGGGCUUGCAAGAUCUUAGUUCCCCAAACCCAACCCUCCUCACCUCCCCAGGAGUGGAAGCAUGGAGUCCUAAGCGCUGGACUGCCAGGGAAUUCCCUCUCUUUCCUAGGCAAAUCUUCGAUCCUUUUGGAAUUUACCCUGAUCUGCGGUGUGAGGUAUGGCUCCAUCUUUGGCUUGCUUUCUAAUAACUAAUUAUCCCAUUAUCUUCAUCAGGGAGUAAGGUAGGAGCUGCUUUGAGCUGCAUCCAACUGGAAUUUCUUUGUUUUUGCCUUUUAAUUUAUAGCAAUACCAGCUCCUACUUUCCCCACUCACCUUCCCCCAUGUGCCUGUUCAAUGCUCGAUUGAUUUUUGUUUGUUUACCAUUAAGAAUUAAUUUUAUUAUUAAUUGAACAUUGUCCCUGACCUUUGGGAUUUCUAUUUACGAUUUAUUUUAGUUGAUAACCAU